GGGGACGUAGCUCAGUUGGCAGAGCACCUGGUUUGCAACCAGGGGGUCGUCGGUUCGAGUCCGAUCGUCUCCACCA
Molecule: transfer RNA, 76 nt
Filed under: hydrothermal vent metagenome
Description: tRNA-Ala-TGC
Rfam family: tRNA
About the family: Transfer RNA (tRNA) molecules are approximately 80 nucleotides in length. Their secondary structure includes four short double-helical elements and three loops (D, anti-codon, and T loops).
Source: RNAcentral